UACGAGAGGCCCAAACGUUAUUCGGAAUUACUGGGCUUAAAGAGUUCGUAGGCGCCCUUGCAAGUCGGGUGUGAAAGCCCUCGGCUCAACCGAGGAAUUGCGCUCUAAACUGCAGUGCUUGAGGAACCUAGAGGUGAGCAGAACAGAUGGUGGAGCGGUGAAAUGCGUUGAUAUCAUCUGGAAUACCGGAGGCGAAGGCGGCUCACUGGGAGUUUUCUGACGCUGAGGAACGAAAGCCAGGGUAGCGAACGGG
Molecule: ribosomal RNA, 253 nt
Filed under: uncultured bacterium
Lineage: Bacteria
Description: partial 16S ribosomal RNA
Rfam family: Bacterial small subunit ribosomal RNA
Source: RNAcentral